AUUGAACGCUGGCGGCAGGCCUAACACAUGCCAGUCGAGCGGAUGAAGGGAGCUUGCUCCUGUCUUCAGCUGCGGACGGGUGAGUAAUGCCUAGGAAUCUGCCUGGUAGUGGGGGAUAACGUCCGUAAACGGGCGCUAAUACCGCAUACGUCCUGAUGGAGAACGUGGUGGAUCUUCGGACCUCACGCUAUCAGAUGAGCCUAGGUCGUAUUAGCUAGUUGGUGGGGUAAAGGCCUACCAAGGCGACGAUCCGUAACUGGUCUGAGAGGAUGAUCAGUCACACUGGAACUGAGACACGGUCCAGACUCCUACGGGAGGCAGCAGUAGGGAAUAUUGCGCAAUGGGCGAAAGCCUGAUGCAGCAACGCCGCGUGUGUGAAGAAGGUCUUCGGAUUGUAAAGCACUUUUAGUAGGGAAGAAGAUAAGUAAGUUAAUACCUUGAUGUCUUGACGGUACCAACAGAGUAAGCAACGGCUAACUUCGUG
This 484-nucleotide ribosomal RNA is filed under the name uncultured bacterium. RNAcentral describes it as "partial 16S ribosomal RNA". It matches the Rfam family "Bacterial small subunit ribosomal RNA", at positions 30 to 507 of the family's 1533-position model. The record is from RNAcentral.